This 1373-nucleotide ribosomal RNA is filed under the name uncultured bacterium. Its description in RNAcentral is "bacterial SSU rRNA". It matches the Rfam family "Bacterial small subunit ribosomal RNA", at positions 28 to 1381 of the family's 1533-position model. The record is from RNAcentral.
GAUGAACGCUGGCGGCGUGCCUAAUACAUGCAAGUCGAGCGAACGGACGAGAAGCUUGCUUCUCUGAUGUUAGCGGCGGACGGGUGAGUAACACGUGGAUAACCUACCUAUAAGACUGGGAUAACUUCGGGAAACCGGAGCUAAUACCGGAUAAUAUUUUGAACCGCAUGGUUCAAAAGUGAAAGACGGUCUUGCUGUCACUUAUAGAUGGAUCCGCGCUGCAUUAGCUAGUUGGUAAGGUAACGGCUUACCAAGGCAACGAUGCAUAGCCGACCUGAGAGGGUGAUCGGCCACACUGGAACUGAGACACGGUCCAGACUCCUACGGGAGGCAGCAGUAGGGAAUCUUCCGCAAUGGGCGAAAGCCUGACGGAGCAACGCCGCGUGAGUGAUGAAGGUCUUCGGAUCGUAAAACUCUGUUAUUAGGGAAGAACAUAUGUGUAAGUAACUGUGCACAUCUUGACGGUACCUAAUCAGAAAGCCACGGCUAACUACGUGCCAGCAGCCGCGGUAAUACGUAGGUGGCAAGCGUUAUCCGGAAUUAUUGGGCGUAAAGCGCGCGUAGGCGGUUUUUUAGUCUGAUGUGAAAGCCCACGGCUCAACCGUGGAGGGUCAUUGGAAACUGGAAAACUUGAGUGCAGAAGAGGAAAGUGGAAUUCCAUGUGUAGCGGUGAAAUGCGCAGAGAUAUGGAGGAACACCAGUGGCGAAGGCGACUUUCUGGUCUGUAACUGACGCUGAUGUGCGAAAGCGUGGGGAUCAAACAGGAUUAGAUACCCUGGUAGUCCACGCCGUAAACGAUGAGUGCUAAGUGUUAGGGGGGUUUCCGCCCCUUAGUGCUGCAGCUAACGCAUUAAGCACUCCGCCUGGGGAGUACGACCGCAAGGUUGAAACUCAAAGGAAUUGACGGGGACCCGCACAAGCGGUGGAGCAUGUGGUUUAAUUCGAAGCAACGCGAAGAACCUUACCAAAUCUUGACAUCCUUUGACAACUCUAGAGAUAGAGCCUUCCCCUUCGGGGGGGCAAAGUGACAGGUGGUGCAUGGUUGUCGUCAGCUCGUGUCGUGAGAUGUUGGGUUAAGUCCCGCAACGAGCGCAACCCUUAAGCUUAGUUGCCAUCAUUAAGUUGGGCACUCUAAGUUGACUGCCGGUGACAAACCGGAGGAAGGUGGGGAUGACGUCAAAUCAUCAUGCCCCUUAUGAUUUGGGCUACACACGUGCUACAAUGGACAAUACAAAGGGCAGCGAAACCGCGAGGUCAAGCAAAUCCCAUAAAGUUGUUCUCAGUUCGGAUUGUAGUCUGCAACUCGACUACAUGAAGCUGGAAUCGCUAGUAAUCGUAGAUCAGCAUGCUACGGUGAAUACGUUCCCGGGUCU